UACCUCUGGUGGCCUUAUGGUUAGAACGUCCGCCUUGGAUGCGGGAGGUCGCGGGUUCGAACGCCGGCCGAGUAU
Non-coding RNA from Potamilus streckersoni, 75 nucleotides. Lineage: Eukaryota; Metazoa; Mollusca; Bivalvia; Unionida; Unionidae. The record is from the annotation of a GenBank genome assembly.